GACAAAGACAGGCGAGAGCCGGGAGAAGUGUCUGUGGUGACUGCUAGCCCACGUGUGCGAGAGGAAGGCCACUCCUCUUCAGACACGGUUGUCGAGCGAGUCCCGGCCGAUCCGGAGAUCCAGUGGCACUCACGGCCGUGGGCGGCGACACUG
Molecule: unclassified non-coding RNA, 153 nt
Filed under: plant metagenome
Description: partial contains 5.8S ribosomal RNA, internal transcribed spacer 2, and large subunit ribosomal RNA
Source: RNAcentral